AAUGUACUCCCUCCGUCCUGAAAUAAGUGACGUGGAUUUGUAUUGAUUUUCUAUACAAAUCCAUUUUCUAUACAAAUCCACGUCACUUAUUUCAGGACGGAGGGAGUACUAA
Molecule: non-coding RNA, 112 nt
Organism: Brachypodium distachyon (stiff brome)
Lineage: Eukaryota; Viridiplantae; Streptophyta; Magnoliopsida; Poales; Poaceae
Source: Rfam